Molecule: ribosomal RNA, 659 nt
Filed under: Clerinae cf. Oxystigmatium sp. G0164
Lineage: Eukaryota; Metazoa; Arthropoda; Insecta; Coleoptera; Cleridae
Also listed under: 1 other name
Description: partial 28S large subunit ribosomal RNA
Rfam family: Eukaryotic large subunit ribosomal RNA
Source: RNAcentral
GAAACACGGACCAAGGAGUCUAGCAUGUGCGCGAGUCAUUGGGAAUCACUAAACCUAAAGGCGCAAUGAAAGUGAAGGCCCGCCCAGCGCGGGCCGAGGGAAGAUGGGCGGUCACGGUUUCCGUGCCGCUCCGCACUCCCGGGGCGUCUCAUUCUCAUUGCGAGAAGAGGCGCACCAAGAGCGUACACGCUGGGACCCGAAAGAUGGUGAACUAUGCCUGGUCAGGACGAAGUCAGGGGAAACCCUGAUGGAGGUCCGUAGCGAUUCUGACGUGCAAAUCGAUCGUCGGAACUGGGUAUAGGGGCGAAAGACUAAUCGAACCAUCUAGUAGCUGGUUCCCUCCGAAGUUUCCCUCAGGAUAGCUGGCGCUCGUCGCCUACGAGUCUCAUCCGGUAAAGCGAAUGAUUAGAGGCAUUGGGGUCGAAACGGCCUCAACCUAUUCUCAAACUUUAAAUGGGUGAGAUCUCCGGCUUGCUCGAACUUAUGAAGCCGCGAGACACGGAUCAGAGUGCCAAGUGGGCCAUUUUUGGUAAGCAGAACUGGCGCUGUGGGAUGAACCAAACGCCGAGUUAAAGCGCCUAAAUCGACGCUUAUGGGAUACCAUGAAAGGCGUUGGUAACUUAAGACAGCAGGACGGUGGCCAUGGAAGUCGGAAUCCG